GACGAACGCUGGCGGCGCGCCUAACACAUGCAAGUCGAACGAGCGAGAGAGAGCUUGCUUUCUCGAGCGAGUGGCGAACGGGUGAGUAACGCGUGAGGAACCUGCCUCAAAGAGGGGGACAACAGUUGGAAACGACUGCUAAUACCGCAUAAGCCCACGGCUCGGCAUCGAGCAGGGGGAAAAGGAGCAAUCCGCUUUGAGAUGGCCUCGCGUCCGAUUAGCUAGUUGGUGAGGUAACGGCCCACCAAGGCAACGAUCGGUAGCCGGACUGAGAGGUUGAACGGCCACAUUGGGACUGAGACACGGCCCAGACUCCUACGGGAGGCAGCAGUGGGGAAUAUUGCACAAUGGGGGAAACCCUGAUGCAGCGACGCCGCGUGAAGGAAGAAGGCUUUCGGGUGUAAACUUCUUUGUCAGGGACGAGUAGAAGACGGUACCUGACGAAUAAGCCACGGCUAACUACGUGCCAGCAGCCGCGGU
This 480-nucleotide ribosomal RNA is filed under the name uncultured bacterium. RNAcentral's name for it is "bacterial SSU rRNA". It matches the Rfam family "Bacterial small subunit ribosomal RNA", at positions 28 to 521 of the family's 1533-position model. The record is from RNAcentral.